CAGAAAAUUGGCAUUGGAAGGGGCAACCCCUCCUCUGUCUCUUAUCUUUCCACCCCUUUGUGAACCUUUGCAUGGGCCAGUACGGACCUUUCAUUAGGUUCGGAGCGCCCGCGACUUGUAUUAUAAACACCUUAGCAAGUCUCAGAAUGUACCUUGCGUUUAACCGCAUAAAUA
This 174-nucleotide unclassified non-coding RNA is filed under the name uncultured fungus. RNAcentral's name for it is "sequence contains ITS1". Lineage: Eukaryota; Fungi. The record is from RNAcentral.